Triticum aestivum (bread wheat) is the source of this 1046-nucleotide long non-coding RNA. RefSeq lists it as uncharacterized. The record is from RefSeq and is a predicted model, not a curated record. NCBI's taxonomy places the organism in Eukaryota, Viridiplantae, Streptophyta, Magnoliopsida, Poales, Poaceae. The transcript has 2 exons.
CCCCUCGGUUUCUUUGAAAUGAACCCGCAGUCCAAGUUAGAAAACAUCUGGGCCAAAGCCAGUCGAGUGCCGCCCGCCCGUACGCCGCUCCGCAGCCACGCGCCCGAGGUCGAGCUCCCGAGCGCGCCGCCGCCUCGACCUCGCGACCCGCCGGCGACCGGAUCCUCGCCGAAGAUGAGUGCCUCCGUGCCCUGCUCCCUCCUCUCUUCCUCUGUCUCCUCUCACCUCGCUCAUCCCCCGAUCUCUCUGUCCCCAGAACGAACAGGAGCAUGCCAUGGCCUCGGAUCCGCGCCGCCGUCGCCGGAGAACAUCGUUCGCCACCGGUUCUUCGACCACAACUACCGGAUCAAGUUGCCCCGCCUCCGAUCUACCCGUUCCCGGCCACCCCAACCUCGCCUCGUCGUCGGGCGCGUAGAGAGACGGCCAUGACCGCCGGAUUCCCGAGCGCCGCCGGCCAAGGUCUUGGAGGAGACCGUCGAGGUCUUGGAGGGGUGGUUCUGGAGCACAAGCUGCGGCGAGUUGUCGGCUAUGUGACAGAGGAGACCCCCGAGGUCUUGCAAGGGUGGUUCUGGAGCGAAGUGGGAUGUGUGUCAGGUGAAGGACUCCCUUGUGGCGAACGGCGCUGGGUGCUAUCAGCUGAGAAGGCUUCAGGCCGGACCAUGGAUGGUGCAGCGGGUGAGAGUUGGGGCAGACGGCGAGUGCGGUGGAUGCGGAUGCCGCCUAGGUUCUGUUGAUAUCGACAUGGAGGAUACAUAGAGUUUGCUGACUCUAUUUCUGGGUUGGCCCUUGAGAGGGAAACCAAGGCAAAAUUCAGCCAAUUUCAGAUAGCAGAUGAAAGGACAAGGGUGAAGAAGUCAAGCUAUUGGAGAGGUCAAUUGAGGAGAUCGGAAGUACUUUAUGUGCUUUCAAAAGUAUCUUUAUUCAGUUUGAGUGGAUUUUGUGGCCUAACUUCCAGACUAGCACUUUGGAAGAAGUUAGAAUUUCUGUUAAUACGACUUUAGUUUAGCCUGACUGAAAUAAGGGGCAAUACUUAAUUUUGUACUGUA